Molecule: long non-coding RNA, 1774 nt
Organism: Syngnathus acus (greater pipefish)
Lineage: Eukaryota; Metazoa; Chordata; Actinopteri; Syngnathiformes; Syngnathidae
Exons: 4
Source: RefSeq, a predicted model, not a curated record
UUGUAAAAGGUGACUUUCCGGGCAGUGUGUUUGCAUUGCUCCAAAGGGCAAUAUAAAAUUUAUAACAUCCUAAUUUCCAGGAGAUGAAAUGGGGAAGUCAUACAAGUGACGGUUUGGAAAAGAGGAACAUAGAGAAUAUUUUCUACCUAUGUAUCAUGCAAUAUAGAUUACAGGAAUAGGACAAAAGAAAACUAAAACAUUAAGAAACUUGGAAUUACAAUUUUAAUUCUUCUUUGACACUGAUUGGUUGAGCACCUGUCCAGAGUAUUCACAAAACCACCUACGAUAGACACCAGUUUAGUGACCCUGGAAAAUGGGAUGGAUUAUUUUAACAUAUGUACUUAGGCGCCUCAGUAGCAAAGGAACAACAUAAUUCACAAAAUUCCCAGUGCUGCAUUGUCAAAGGACAGAAAAAGAAAAAACAAAAAGGGAUCAAGAACCAAGCCUAGACCACAACAACUCAGUCACACUGUCGCAAAGUUGGACGUGAACUCUCACAAGUCAGGUAAGUGAAUAUCAGAUUCCUUGUACAUAAAUGUUUUGGUCCCAUUGCGCUAAAGCAAAUGAACAAUGACUUAAUAUGUAAGACAGUUUUACAUUGUUUUAAUCACGCCACCAUUUUCAUCCUAGAAGAAAAGUGCAAAUGAGGCCUCACGUGUUUUAUGUUCGACAAGCCAUUCGUAAGAGCAAGCACCUAAGUGCAAAUAUGCAUGCAUAAUUUUUUUGAUUGAUUGACUGAUUUAUUAUAAUUUCUUCACAGGAGCAUUGAGCGCUACAUCCCACACUUCCUUUCCUUUCUCUCGAAACUUGAGGUGUGAUUUUUGUGGACGUGCAUUGUUCCCGCGUUCAUUAUGCUGCGGCGUAGAAAGCGUGGGAUGCCAGGCAGCCGUCUACCCCCCACUUGACAGUUAAUUCAUUAGCAGGCCUGCUAACAGGUGAGCUGACAGAUUGACAACCGCCUUGACAUUAAUGUAUGACCCCUUUUGAAUGUUCCCAAUUUUACUUUUAAGCACUUUCCCCCCAUUAACAUGAGACUAGAGAGAAGAAUGGGAUCAAGUCUAGAAGCUUGAGGAUUGAGCAGCCAGGAGCUGGUGGUCCGUAUGCAGCCUGUAAGGUUGCACAGAUGGCGUAGCGCUUCUCUUGUCCGACUUCCAGCAUGUGAAUAAAUGCUUUCUUUACACAGUGCAAAAGUGAGACACCUGACAUUCCAAAGAUGCAGCUUGAGGCCGGCGUUCCUUCUUGUUGAUCUCAGUACGAUGAUGGUAUCCUUUCUGACCAGCAUGGGCCACAUAGAAGGCAGGAUGCCAGGCUGCACUUUUGUUGUCUUGGCUGUAAGGUGAGUCAGCGUGUUAGGUAUGAGAUGUGCCGUGAUCUGCCUUGCUUGCCACGCAUUUGCCCACGCUGGUGAGAUUUGGUGGAUGUAGAGCAGAUAAACGCCCACGCGCACGCACGCACAAACGCAUUAUCUGGAAUUUAGCACGCCAAGUGAUGUUUAUAUAGUCACCGCAACGUUUGUGCGUCAUCAACGUAGCACACUCACUAAGUGAACGGGUCGAUUAUUUAGAUAGGGAUGUGGUCAACCAUGUUUAUUAUUUUUAUCACACACACACCUUUUUUUCUCCCUUUGAAUCAUUUUAAGAACAGGGGGAGGAAGUGGCUUGACUUCUAAACCAUGAAUUGACACUCCAUAAACAAGGAAAAUGUAUUCUUAAGAAAAUUCUGUAAACAUUUUUAAUAGUUUAUAUUUAGAAAAUUACACUGAUUACAUUUUUAA